CAGAGGCUGUGAGGUGGCUCCGUGAAUAAAGGCCCCUCCUGCUGCCAAGUCUGACAACCUGAGUUUAUAGUUCCUGGGACCUGACUCCUAGAGAAGAUGAUAAGAUACGUCCCAGAGGGCUCUGGAGAAAAUUAAAUACGAUACUUCAUGUAAAUGAACCCCACUUGUUCAUACUGGAUGAAUAACCAACCGUGGAGGGCCGGAGAGACAACCAAAGAAGUACAGGGACUUGCCACAGUGCCUGACAUCAGUUGGAUCCCCAGAACCCACGUGAAGGUAAAAGAACCACAGCUCCACCCAAGUGCCACGCAUGUGUACACAUAUUCAUCAAGUAAAAAUUGUUAAAUGAAUUUAAAAAUUUUACAUUUAUAAAAGAGACCAAAAGAA
Molecule: long non-coding RNA, 387 nt
Organism: Grammomys surdaster
Lineage: Eukaryota; Metazoa; Chordata; Mammalia; Rodentia; Muridae
Exons: 2
Source: RefSeq, a predicted model, not a curated record